This 447-nucleotide ribosomal RNA is filed under the name Oonopidae sp. 2 GJB-2020. Its description in RNAcentral is "partial large subunit ribosomal RNA". The record is from RNAcentral. Lineage: Eukaryota; Metazoa; Arthropoda; Arachnida; Araneae; Oonopidae.
CGUUUUAAGACAAUAAUUUAAAAUAAUACCUGCUCAAUUGAAAUUUAAUUUUAAAUAGCCGCAGUUCAACUGUGCUAAGGUAGCAUAAUAAAUUGUCUACUAAUUAUAGAAUAGAAUGAAAGGUAACACGUAUUUUAAAUUGUUUCAUUAUUACACUUAUAAAUUAUAAUUUAAGUAAAAAUACUUAAUUUUAAUAAUAAAAGACGACAAGACCCUAAUAAACUUAACUUAUUUUACUGGGGAGGUAAAACAAAAACACCUUGCACACAUUUUAAAAUAAAAACCUAAUUACUUAAACACAUCAAAGUUACUAUAGGGAUAACAGCACAAUUAUUAUUUAAAGCUCUUAUUAACAUAAUAGAUUAUGACCUCGAUGUUGAAUCAGAAUCACCUUAAUAAGCAACCUUAUUAAAGGUUAAGGUCUGUUCGACCUGUAAAUUCUACGUG